UUAGGAUUGAGUGGUUGGAUCUCCUUGCAGUCCAAGGGACUCUCAAGAGUUUUCUCCAACACCACAGUUCAAAAACAUGAAUUCUUCAGCACUCAGCUUUCUUUGUGGUCCAACUCUCACAUCCAUACCUGACUACUGGAAAAACCAAAGCUUUGACUAAACAGACCUUUGUUGGCAAAGUAAGCGGUCUGCUUUUUAAUACAAAUAAACAACUGAACAACACAAAAGGGUUCUGAGUAGAAAUGAAGGAGCUGUCUUUGUCCCACCACUGGCAGUUACUGGAUGCUGGUCAGCAAGUCUAAAGGCAAAGCCAUAGAUCACACAAAGCCAACUAUGGAACCUUGGGCCCUGUUAAUAACUUACACAGAAUCUUCAGUGUAUGUAUGGCCAAAUGGUAUUUGUAUUCUUGAAUGCCACACUGCUGGGUACAUUCUCAAUAUCUGACAGCACAGAGUCUAAAACAAACAAUCUAAAGGAGAAUUUCAUUGUGUAGGUAAUUUCAGAGCAUCCUUGAGGUCAAGAAAUAAAAUGUUGGCCAGAUAGCUCAGAGGUCAAGAUCUGGGCAUGUGUUUUUCACUGCCUCCAGCUACAACUACUCCUGGUGUUCAGAAAGGCUUAACAAGAAUCAGGACAAUUUCUGAGUGUUUAUCAGCAGCUGCCAGAAUUUGUGUCUCCAGGUGUCCAGAAAACUCUGGAAGAAGACUGGCCCCUGGAAGAAAUGAUCAGUAGCCCAAGGACUUCUGGUCACAGCGCUGUGCAGAGAUCUUCCAGUGUUCUUCAGAAGGCCAUCCUGUCUCCAUGAGUCAUAACCAGGGCUGUUGUUCCCAGUACAUCAGUGAGCAUCAGGAAAAUAUUAAAUGCUCCUUAACUGGUUAGUGAAUAGGCACUGAUCUGAGCUCUCUGAGUGCCCUUCCACCUCUCCAGACACCCUGGCUGCAGGAAUCCCUGGUGAGCACUAAAGCAGAACAGCCUUUGAACCAGCUAAGUCUUCCGCUGCCUGAGGUCGUCCUGCAUUUCCCCCCACCCUAUCCGCCUCCCACCAUUGCUGCCAGAGCUAUCAGACCCCAACCCUCCUGAAAGAGGGACUGUCAUCUUGCAGGGAAACAAGCCCAGUACCCACCUGACCACCCCAAGGCUGCAGUGUCCUGCUUGCCUUGCCUUUUGCAUGGCCUCUUUGGGCCCAUAGUGUUGAAGUAUUUUGACUAUCCUCCUAGUCACAGUCACACUCUCCUGCCCCUACAUCUCUGCC
Molecule: long non-coding RNA, 1249 nt
Filed under: Bos indicus x Bos taurus (hybrid cattle)
Lineage: Eukaryota; Metazoa; Chordata; Mammalia; Artiodactyla; Bovidae
Description: lncRNA (ENSBIXG00000018387.1)
Source: RNAcentral